AGGAAGGGACAGCAAGUGAAGGGCGCCUCCCACCAGGCAGCUGCCCAGGAACGGCUGUGUCCGGAGCGGGCCGGUGCUGCUGCUCGCUGCCCGUCACCCGGGAGAGUCGCUCCGCAGUCCUCCAGGAGGAAGCUCAGCGGCUCAGGUGACAGUGCCGCUCAGAUCCGGGGUUCCGCCCACAGUCUACGCGCAGUUCUACAGCACCAGCCGGCCAGGGAAGCGGAGCGAAUGGACCCGGCAUCCCGGGCCAUCCCGGAGGGCUGCGCAGGGCGCUGGCUGCUCGGCUGUAAGAGGCACCAGUGCCCUUCUGCCAUGCCACCCUGCCUUGGAGCCAGCCAGGUAUGGACUGAAAGCUCUACAAACUGUGAGCUGAAUAAACCUUUCCUCCUUUAACUGUGGAUAUCAAGUGUUUUGUCUCAGCAACAAGAGAAAAGUAACUAAAAUGGGGACAUAAUCUCUGAAGAGUUUUGUGGCAAAAUGCACACACCAAUCAGUUCCUCAAGAAAGAAGUCACCCAACAGCUUCAGGAGCAGGUGGUCAAUCCUCAGCGCAGCCGCCAUGGGCUCUCCACAUGGAGGGACCAGCUCUCCUCCCUUCCACUGGUCCCUCUGGCCAUGAUUGAGCUGGGUGCUGAGGACUCUGGCCUGGCUCUAUUUAUGGAAAGCAGGAUGGUUUUCAAGACACCCAGGCAGUCAAGGUGCCAUGUGGUGAUGGAGAAAGACAGAUCUAUAAGCACCAGAGUGAGGUUCUGGUGACCUGAGCCCACUGCUGUGUGGAGACACCUGGUGAAGCUACUGUCUUCGUGUCUGAUUGGGAGGUGAAAUCUUCAACUGAGGACUUGGCUGGUAAGAAUGACGGAGAAUCCCUUAAAUUCAAACUCACUGGACAGGACUGCCAUGAUACUCACUUCAAAACAAAACAUGACAACACAUCUCUUACAGCUUCUAUCUAGAUGGACCCCAAAAGCUUCUUGCUCUCAUGGUGAGGGGUGAGGGGUGUUUUCAGGGGAGCUGGGUGUAGGGUGUGUAAAUGUGAAGUAAGGGUAUAAUAACUGAAUUAGUAGUCUACUGAUUGGUCUGGCAUUGUCCUGGGUACGGGUAAUGGGAAGCUCCAUCCCAGGUGCGAGUGGCACCAGUCAAUAGACCUGGAGCCUUGACAAAACAUGAGGAGAAGAGACAGAAGGCAGAAGGCAAGACCCUUACUUGCUGCUUCCUGCCUACCUGCUAUGGACUGUUUCUCCUCUGGGAUUCCCUUUGCCAUGACACCACGACUCAGAGCCAGCCAACUACAGACUGAAACCUCUACAAACUGUGAGCAAAAUUAAACCUAUCUUCCUUUAACUUGUGAGUAGUGGGUAUUUUGUCUCAGAAACAAGAGAAGUAACUAGGACAGGGAUGCAAAUUCAUCAGAAACCAGAACUACAACGCACAGUUGGUUUACUGAUGAGAGAGAAAAUGCCAUCCUGCCAGGUGUAAUUUAGGAGUAACUGGGAGAGAUUUGGAAACAUUGUUUAAACUUGCAGUUUCUCCCAAAUAAGCACUAGAUGUGAAGACAUGGUUCAAAUGAAGUAGUAACAGCAGAUAGCUAGCUCUCCUCAGACCCCCAGUCUCUGCCUGCUGCCGGUCUUCCCAUUGCACACGUAGCCAUCACUGACUCUGUGUCAGUGCAUGGAGCAACCCCACAUUGCAGAGGUGCUGUAAAGACAGGAGGUGGAGGCCAAAAAGCCUGACACCAGGGUACAGGCCCAACAGCAUGGCCAAGGUCCCCAGCCAUGGCUGAUCCCAGUCCUGCUCCUGAACCCCUUUACCCAGGCAACUUCAAAGCCCCUUCCAUUUAACCUGUGACUAAUGACAGGAUGAGGAUUGACCCAUUCAUAGUGAUGAAAAUAAAUACAUAGCGAUUAGGCCAGGCUGCAGACAUGUAGGUCCAGACCUAGAAAUGAUUUCUUGACUUGGGGCUUCACCCCAACUUUGAUUGCUCCCUGUGAGGAAUGAUCACCGUGACCACAUUGGUAGUAAAUGUUGAACUUUUCUACUGAAUACUGAUGUGACAGAAAAUAAACACAUGUCAAGCAUGCAAAGUCUUGGGGCCCCAGUAUGACGGAAGAGCUGAAGACAUUCAUGGAUGUCUUCAAAGACUUAAAACUGCAGAGACAGGAAUGGCAUCACUCUGCAGCCCUUUAUUGGAAGGCUUUGCAGGUCUCCUGUCAAGGACAGCAAAUUGCUACCUCUGAAAAAUCAGCUAAGAUUGUUGUCCAUUAACCCGAAGAUUUCUACUCACGAUUCUAAAUUCUGUGGCUCUAGCCAGAGGCCUGGGACCAGGCAUGUGCUGGAGGGCUGUGGUUUCAAUAUAGCCUGGGUUCCUGUGUCCUUUAGUUCAGCUUUCUGUCAUAGCCCAGCCCAGGUAUGCAGAGACCUGCCCACUGAUAAGGGCCUUAUUUAGAUUCCCACAGCCACAUUCCCCACUGUGACCUGGGCUUAUGUAAGCAACUGACUCACUGGGUCCCCUUCCUGAAAUGCAGGUGAGAGCCAGUCUCAGUCACCUGAGAUGCUUGAAAGGGAAACCCAGAGGCCUAGUCCUCCCUGACACUCGUCCUGCUUUAUGACAGCUCUUGAUGACACAGAAAAGAUCACAGAGGAAAGGGGAGGCUCUAGAUGACUUAAAAAUGCAGUUGCCACCCCUCCUUCAGUGCGGGGCAAUGUGGUGCCCGCCUCCAUCUACUAAAAACACUCUUCCAUCCUUCAAAAUCAAAGAUAUUUUCCCUUUUCCUGAGGUUUCCAUAUUCUGUUUUGUUUUGUUUUGUUUUUCAGGUUGCUUUCGUACAAAGACUGUUGACUGUUUUUGUAAAUCAUGGAUAGUUUUCUUUCUCCUGAAUUUCAUGUCAUAUUUUACUUGUUGUCUUCCCACAUAUAGCCAGCAGUGAGGCCUGCUGAUUUAAGGCAUACAUUAGAUAAGCAUCAAAGUCAGCCCUUCUCUCCCGCACUUCCACCACCACCAUCUGUGCUUUGGCCCCUGGGACUCAGUUGAACAAUUACUGUGUCUCACCCUUUUGAUCUGUUUUCUGCAGUCUUGGGCUAUGGUCCGUUAAAUACAAAUCAUGUUAUCCCCUAUUCCUGACCUGCAGGUAACUUCUCCAGGGAGUUUCAGGUGUGUGAAUGAAUUCUCUUCCAGGAGAACCACUGUAAGUUGGCUUCAUUCAUAAGUCUGAUGAGGCAAGUGUUUUGCACCUUUGACACAAACACACGAUAGCUUUCUGUUUCCACGCAGUUCCCUCCACAGCACCACUGCUUUCCUCCAGCUUCCAGACAUCCUGGGCUCUGAUGGGGCACUGCACCCCUGUAUAGGAUCACACUGUUCAGGGAGCACACAGCAGCACAGCUGUGAUGACACCAGCAGACACUACUUCGCCAACUUAUUGGUAUCUGUGACUGUAGUGUGAAGCUUCACUUGUAUCUGUGAAUGCUCACAUCUCUAAUGUUUGUAAGUUAGGGACUCACUGUAAUUGCAUUUUUAAUAAAAGGCAGAGGCCCUAGUGAAGCCCACACCCCUCUAUCCCCUCCUGCUGCUGACUUCUCAGGAGUACACAUGCUACACCCUGCAUGGGUUUUCUUGUCCUCUGCAUACUGGACCCCCAUGCUACUCCAGUCCAGGAACCCUUUGACUUCAUCCAUCUGCAUGGCCAGUCUGACUCUGGUCUGUGUCUUCACUCCUAAAUGACCUCCACAGAGAUGCCACCCUGGCCACCAGAGCUAUGACAUCCCUUAAAUCAUAGAGUGUCAUGUUUUCCUUUAUCUGAGAAGCACACCUACUAAAGUAGUAAUGUAUCCUAAUAUAAAGACUCAUCAAGUCAGAGGCAAGAAGUUUAAUAACCAAUAGUAAGCCCUAUAUAAGUAUGUGUGACUUUUAUUAGAAGUAGCAUUUAUUUUCUUUCUUCUCUCAGUAAAAUAUAAAUCUAUAGUUUUCCUGGCUUGUGCAUGACAUUGUAAAAUAUAGUACAAAACAACACAUAGUAAACCCUCAAUAAAUAUUUGAAUGCUUCAGUGAAGUAAUGAAAUAUUUAAGCAUUUCUUCUGUCUUUAAUACCUCUUUCACUUUUGCCAAUUCCUUAGCUAAAGACAUUUCCUCAGACUCAAUCACUGUGUUGGUUAGUUGGUUGGUUUGCUUUGCCUUUCAAAUAUUUCCUCUCUCCUUCCUCCUCAAAACUGUUUAAGUAAAAAUGCUUCUCUGGGUUCAGCGCUGUCUCCAUGAUGGGGUUCCCAUCAUGACAGAUCUAGUAUGGACCUGCCGCCCAGACUCUUCGCUGGGAAGCCGCUGCCAGCGGGGGCUUGGGCCACAGGACACCAAGGAUAGGGUACGAAUUCUAUGACUCGGCCAAUCAUAGCCUUCAUGGAGACCCUCUUCUCCUUUCCCAUUUUGCUUUACUUUAAUGGUUGGGCCAGGGCCAGGCCCUUGUACAUGCUUAACACAUACCCUGCACUGAGCUGCCCUGGGCUCUGUGCUUUUUGUGGAUAAUAAUUAUUAAUUUCUGUCUUCUUUCUCAGAGUUUGCAUAUAAAUGAAAAUUAUUACAUGUGCAAGUGUUUCCUGAAUUAUAAACAGUGCAUAGUUUUGAGAUACUCAUACUAAAUGUGUUCUUUAUGUGAUGAGUCAGACUGUUAUCUGAUUUAACAUAAUUAAUCUCCUCCUUUCCUAAGCUGAAUUCUUUCCAAUUUUGCCUUUGGUCAUUUCCAUAUCCAGUAUUUCUAAGCCACAGAUUUUCCUCUGUUCUGUCUACAGCUCUUCUGCUGCUCUCUGUUCUUCCAGAUGUAACCCUAGUCUGGCUUGCCUCAGCUCACUCCCAGGCUAUGCAUCAACACUUCAUCAGUUGGCCACUUGGCCUCCUAUCUUUCUCUCCAUCUGUCUCUUCAAAUAAUUCCAGUUCAGUUUUUCCAACACACCAGUUGUAUGAGAUUUCUGUUACUGCUGCAUUAAGGUUUAUGCUUUGCUCAGCUGAAGAGCCCUGCCUUGGCUGAGGGAUGAGCUCCUGUCCCCAGCGAGGCAAUGACAUGCUGUCUUCCUAGCACCCAGGCAGCCAUGGAGUAAAACUUGCCCGAGUGUCUGCACACUAGAUUCUGCAGGCUGCCCCUCAGAGUCAUGGAAACUAUCCUGUUCUUUUGCUUCUACUUUAAUUCUAUGGAAUCUUCAUAGAAAAUCCCAAUGGAUUUCUUCUUGAUUAAAUCAGAACUGUUGUCUUUUCCUUAAAAAUUCAGAAACUGAGGGAUGUGGUUCAGCAGCAGUGCACUUGCUUAGCGUGGCCAGCACCCUGAAUUCCAUCCCCAGCAUCAACAGAAAAAGAAAAGGAAUAAAGAAAGAAACUCUACUUACCAAAGUAUUUUGUUCUUAAAAAAAAAAAAAAAAAAAAAAAAAAAAAAAAAACUAUUCCUUUUAAAUUCUUCCUCUAAAUACAUUUCCCACUGUUCGUUUACUUCACACCUCCUGAAAAUUACUAGGUAUAAAAAUUCUUUCAUUGACAUUCACUGACUGAUUCACAAACUAGUCAUUAAUUUUAAAAGCAUGAACAUCUCUUGAUAGCAACUGGAAGGUAACAUUCAUCUACAACCUGACCCUAAAUGUGUCCGUCCUGUCUGAUCUUGAAGCCUAGCAGGGUUGGGCCUGGUUAGUAACUGGAUGAGAGGAAUGUGACACAUAUUUCCUUGAUUCCAAGCCUACCAUUCCUACAGAAAUGACAAAGCUGACAGGGGAUUGGUUAGCAUGAUUGCUAUUCACUGAUUUUAUUAUCGUGAACCCUCUUCUAGUCAUAGGACUUCUAUUUGCUUGGCAUAUAAUUUAUCCACUCAUGCAAACUGCAUGAAAUCAAUUUAAGCUGUAGGUAUUUUCUUACUAUAUAUAUUAUACUGCACCCUCCUUGGAGAUCUGUGGAACAUUUUCCCAAAUAUUUCUCUAAAAUUCAGAUAAGUAGAAUGGAGCAAUGUGGUACUCAGAGACUAUAGCAAAUGUUCAAAUUUCAAAAACAUCAUUAUAAUGAAAGAGAUGUUGCCAUUCAUUUCCCUCAAAAUCCUCCUCCUCACUUCAAAUGCAUGUAUCCUAUCAUCCUUGUCACUUCCUGCAGUGAUGCUGGACGUCCCCUCUUGUGAGUGUCUUUAGCUGUGCUGUUACGGCCACCAUGAUGUCCUGAAUCACUUCAAAAUGAUGAAUUUUCCAGGUGAUUUUGAUUUAGGGAAAAAUCAAGGAUCACAGGGUGCCAGGUUCAGUGAAUAAGAUAGAUAAGGACACAACACUCAGCAGCAGAGCUCAGUAUAAUUUUUGUCACACUUCAUCAAGAUUCUCACCAGAGAAACUUCCAGAACUGCUUCAGAAGAUGAUAAGAACAACGUGUCACAUGUACUUGAAGUGAAGGAGCAUAUUCUGAGGAAAGUUCAUGCAAUGUCUUUUACUGUAAUGCAAGUACAUUAAUUUAAAUAUUAACCUCAGUGUCUGAUCCACCUUGGUUUGGCUUUGUAUGCUGAGUAGUUAAAUAAAUUGCUGACCAAAUAGAUUAUUUCCAAGAGAUCUGCAUUUUAUGUCUCUUUUGAAUGCAUUCGUGUUACAAUGGAAUGAGAUGUCUUAUUUUUAUAGUGUUUUAUGGUCAUGUGGGGAAAAAUAUAGUCUAGAGUGAAUCAAAA
Long non-coding RNA from Cavia porcellus (domestic guinea pig), 6661 nucleotides. RefSeq lists it as uncharacterized. The record is from RefSeq and is a predicted model, not a curated record. The transcript is spliced from 3 exons. NCBI's taxonomy places the organism in Eukaryota, Metazoa, Chordata, Mammalia, Rodentia, Caviidae.